UGGGGAAUUUUGGACAAUGGGCGAAAGCCUGAUCCAGCAAUGCCGCGUGUGUGAAGAAGGCCUUCGGGUUGUAAAGCACUUUUGUCCGGAAAGAAAUCCUUGGCUCUAAUACAGUCGGGGGAUGACGGUACCGGAAGAAUAAGCACCGGCUAACUACGUGCCAGCAGCCGCGGUAAUACAUAGGGUGCAAGCGUUAAUCGGAAUUACUGGGCGUAAAGCGUGCGCAGGCGGUUUGCUAAGACCGAUGUGAAAUCCCCGGGCUCAACCUGGGAACUGCAUUGGUGACUGGCAGGCUAGAGUAUGGCAGAGGGGGGUAGAAUUCCACGUGUAGCAGUGAAAUGCGUAGAGAUGUGGAGGAAUACCGAUGGCGAAGGCAGCCCCCUGGGCCAAUACUGACGCUCAUGCACGAAAGCGUGGGGAGCAAACAGGAUUAGAUACCCUGGUAGUCCACGCCCUAAACGAUGUCACUAGUUGUUGGGGAUCAUUCCUUAGUAACGUAGCUAACGCGUGAAGUUGACCGCCUGGGGGGUACGGUCGCAAGAUUAAAACUCAAAGGAAUUGACGGGGUCAUA
RNAcentral lists this ribosomal RNA (572 nucleotides) under uncultured bacterium. RNAcentral's name for it is "partial 16S ribosomal RNA". It matches the Rfam family "Bacterial small subunit ribosomal RNA", at positions 355 to 923 of the family's 1533-position model. The record is from RNAcentral.